UAAUGGUUGCUGUUCAGUAAUGUGAUGGGGGAUAGAAUACAUCUUCAUCAAUCAAAUGACCAGAUGGAAGCGAUAUCGUUACAUUAUACAUAAAGGUAUUUCCCCGAUAGGACCCCCGGUGCUGUAAUGACGUCACUAUUUAGCUCAGGUCGACGAGCGGCCCUGAUGACGCGUCCAUGAUGGCCGCCAGGCCCCUGAGCUGUAACUUCUGCUGCCCGACUGUUCGUGACGAUGGAGACCUGAUGGAAGAAAGGAGACUGACUGAUGGCGUUUCUAUCCGUCGUUAAAGAGCUGCACUUCCUUGUGUUGACCACUAGGGGUCGCCCUCCAUCCAUCACAUGGGAUCAUGCUGCUGUGCGGGGAUGACGUGUUUAUGUGCUUAAAAGAUCUAAACUGAAUCAUGCAACACAUGAACAGUGAACUCUAGUCUGCACCUGAAGAAAGGCUCUUUACUUGGUAACAGUAUCGCUCAUUUAAAUCAUUCCUUCUUCUUCUUUAUUGGGUCUCAGACGGUGUUUUUGUAUUUGAAUGAUUGUGUGACUUCAAAGUGUUUGUUUUUCUUUCUGAAUUCUCAGAAAAUGUUGGAGGAGCAGCUGGAGAACAACAAGGUUCAAGACAAGCGGACGGAGGACGAAAUGAACAAAGCUGCUGAAUGAGCAGAGACACUUGAAGGUCUUGGAGGAGACGAGGAGGAUGGAGGAACAUUUGGGCGCAGUUUCCAGACCUGAGGACGGCAGGUUUCUUCUUCUGCUCUGCGGUUACUCUGAGAAGUAACUUUGACAGUUUGGGGGUGGUUCAGCUUUUGUCAAAUGUUUGCUGUGCAGCUGAAUUUUAAUAAAGAAUAAUUUGGUAUAACCCCCUGCGUGUGUCUCAUUGAAAGCCCGGGAGGAGACGGACGUCUCUACUCUACCGGGGCGAUGCACACUGAUGAUCCCACAGCGGUGGGAAUCGAACCCGGGUCUGACGCCACCCAAACCGGGGACAGCGCAACCACGCCACCAUGUCAUUCGCCCUUAAUCAUGUUUGUUUGUUGCCUUUGACUUCUUCAUGUGACGAACAACCUCAAAA
Molecule: long non-coding RNA, 1068 nt
Organism: Pungitius pungitius (ninespine stickleback)
Lineage: Eukaryota; Metazoa; Chordata; Actinopteri; Perciformes; Gasterosteidae
Exons: 4
Source: RefSeq, a predicted model, not a curated record